RNAcentral lists this ribosomal RNA (433 nucleotides) under uncultured bacterium. RNAcentral describes it as "bacterial SSU rRNA". It matches the Rfam family "Bacterial small subunit ribosomal RNA", at positions 92 to 518 of the family's 1533-position model. The record is from RNAcentral.
CGACCGGCGCACGGGUGAGUAACGCGUAGUCCAACCUCCCCCACCAGUAGCGGGAUAGCCCGGCGAAAGUACGGAUUAAUACGCUAUGAGGUGCAGUAUUGGCAUCAUGGCCGCACGAAAGAUUUAUCGCUGUGGGAUGGGGAUGCGUCUGAUUAGCUUGUCGGCGGGUAACGGCCCACCGAGGCGACGAUCAGUAGGGGUUCUGAGAGGAAGGUCCCCCACAUUGGUACUGAGACACGGACCAAACUCCUACGGGAGGCAGCGAGUGAGGAAUAUUGGUCAAUGGCCGGAAGGCUGAACCAGCCCAAGUAGCGUGCAGGACGACGGCCCUACGGGUUGUAAACUGCUUUUAUAGGGGAAUAAAGUGUGGUACGUGUACCGUUUUGUAUGUACCCUAUGAAUAAGGACCGGCUAAUUCCGUGCCAGCCGCGGC